This 253-nucleotide ribosomal RNA is filed under the name uncultured bacterium. RNAcentral describes it as "partial 16S ribosomal RNA". It matches the Rfam family "Bacterial small subunit ribosomal RNA", at positions 524 to 776 of the family's 1533-position model. The record is from RNAcentral.
UACGAAGGGGGCUAGCGUUGUUCGGAAUCACUGGGCGUAAAGCGCACGUAGGCGGACUGUUAAGUCAGGGGUGAAAGCCCGGAGCUCAACUCCGGAAUUGCCUUUGAUACUGGCAGUCUCGAGUCAAGGAGAGGUUGGUGGAACUCCGAGUGUAGAGGUGAAAUUCGUAGAUAUUCGGAAGAACACCAGUGGCGAAGGCGGCCAACUGGCCUUGUACUGACGCUGAGGCACGAAAGCGUGGGGAGCGAACAGG